GCAUCUGUAGCUCAGUGGAUAGAGCAGUGGCGUCCGAAGCCAUGUGCGCAGGUUCGACUCCUGUCAGGUGCA
This 72-nucleotide transfer RNA is filed under the name Anaeromicropila populeti. RNAcentral's name for it is "Clostridium populeti tRNA". It matches the Rfam family "tRNA". From Rfam's summary of the family: Transfer RNA (tRNA) molecules are approximately 80 nucleotides in length. Their secondary structure includes four short double-helical elements and three loops (D, anti-codon, and T loops). Lineage: Bacteria; Bacillati; Bacillota; Clostridia; Lachnospirales; Lachnospiraceae. The record is from Rfam by way of RNAcentral.